CACUUCCCUCCCUGGAUCUUUCCGGUCAUAGUCAAUUUUCUUCACCGGAAACGACGCUUUUAACAGCUGCCGGAUCACCGAAAGUCCAGCGUAAUAACGUUAAUAACAGCACACUCUGCCGACGGCCCGAUGUGACGCUCUCUUGUGCCGACAGUCCGGCCGGCACCGCCCCUUCAUUUUCGCUCGGUAUCUGUAGUCUAUCAUAGGCGGUUAACUUAGGGUGCCAUCACUAACCUUGG
RNAcentral lists this long non-coding RNA (239 nucleotides) under Sorghum bicolor (sorghum). Its description in RNAcentral is "long non-coding RNA (SBIC_LNC011380)". Lineage: Eukaryota; Viridiplantae; Streptophyta; Magnoliopsida; Poales; Poaceae. The record is from RNAcentral.